UAAAGGUGGCGUACGGGUGAGUAACACGUGGAUAAUCUACCUCUUGGUGGGGAAUAACUUUGGGAAACCGAAGCUAAUACCGCAUAAGUCCGAAAGGAGAAAGGCGAAAGCCGCCGAGCAGAGGAGUCCGCGGCCGAUUAGCUAGUUGGUGAGGUAAAGGCUCACCAAGGCGAAGAUCGGUAGCCGGCCUGAGAGGGCACACGGCCACACUGGCACUGAAACACGGGCCAG
Molecule: ribosomal RNA, 231 nt
Filed under: uncultured bacterium
Lineage: Bacteria
Description: partial 16S ribosomal RNA
Rfam family: Bacterial small subunit ribosomal RNA
Source: RNAcentral